This 118-nucleotide ribosomal RNA is filed under the name Bacillus cereus. The record is from RNAcentral. RNAcentral also lists the same sequence under 3 other names. Lineage: Bacteria; Bacillati; Bacillota; Bacilli; Caryophanales; Bacillaceae.
UUGGUGAUGAUGGCAGAGAGGUCACACCCGUUCCCAUACCGAACACGGAAGUUAAGCUCUCUAGCGCCGAUGGUAGUUGGGACCUUGUCCCUGUGAGAGUAGGACGUCGCCAAGCUAU